AGGUUUCCUGCGCAACGUUAAUCGACGCAGGGUUAGUCGGUCCCUAAGGCGAGGCUGAAAAGCGUAGUCGAUGGAAAACAGGUUAAUAUUCCUGUACUUCCAGUUAUUGCGAUGGAGGGACGGAGAAGGUUAGGCCAGCCUGGCGUUGGUUGUCCAGGUUUAAGGUGGUAGGCUGAAAUCUUAGGCAAAUCCGGGAUUUCAAGGCCGAGAGCUGAUGACGAGUUGCCUUUAGGCGACGAAGUGGUUGAUACCAUGCU
This 257-nucleotide ribosomal RNA is filed under the name Mesorhizobium sp. RNAcentral describes it as "partial 23S ribosomal RNA". It matches the Rfam family "Bacterial large subunit ribosomal RNA", at positions 1348 to 1606 of the family's 2925-position model. Lineage: Bacteria; Pseudomonadati; Pseudomonadota; Alphaproteobacteria; Hyphomicrobiales; Phyllobacteriaceae. The record is from RNAcentral.